UUGCACGCUGGCGGCAUGCUUUACACAUGCAAGUCGAACGGUAACAGGCCGCAAGGUGCUGACGAGUGGCGAACGGGUGAGUAAUGCAUCGGAACGUGCCCAGUCGUGGGGGAUAACUACUCGAAAGAGUAGCUAAUACCGCAUACGAUCUAUGGAUGAAAGCGGGGGACCGUAAGGCCUCGCGCGAUUGGAGCGGCCGAUGUCAGAUUAGGUAGUUGGUGGGGUAAAGGCUCACCAAGCCAACGAUCUGUAGCUGGUCUGAGAGGACGACCAGCCACACUGGGACUGAGACACGGCCCAGACUCCUACGGGAGGCAGCAGUGGGGAAUUUUGGACAAUGGGCGCAAGCCUGAUCCAGCAAUGCCGCGUGCAGGAAGAAGGCCUUCGGGUUGUAAACUGCUUUUGUACGGAACGAAACGGCUCUGGUUAAUACCCGGGGCUAAUGACGGUACCGUAAGAAUAAGCACCGGCUAACUACGUG
Molecule: ribosomal RNA, 481 nt
Filed under: uncultured bacterium
Lineage: Bacteria
Description: partial 16S ribosomal RNA
Rfam family: Bacterial small subunit ribosomal RNA
Source: RNAcentral